This 498-nucleotide unclassified non-coding RNA is filed under the name Hevea brasiliensis (rubber tree). Lineage: Eukaryota; Viridiplantae; Streptophyta; Magnoliopsida; Malpighiales; Euphorbiaceae. The record is from RNAcentral.
UGAAUAAAUGUUGCAGGAUCAGUAGAUAUAUUGAGAUAUCCCAUAAUGGAAUCUAUGACCCCAUGUUCUUUAAGUAUGCCGUUUGGAUCAUUUGUAACAAGCCAACCAAGUCGCCAGCCUGGGACAAUCCACCUCUUUGAUAUGGAUCCGAGUGUAACAACAGGAGCAAUCGAUCCAAAGAUUCCCAUGGGCACAAAUGGUUUACUUCCAAAAGCCAGAUGAGCAUAAACUUCAUCAGAAAUAACUAAAAUUCCAAGCUUCCUUGCCGUUUCUGCCACCUUCUUCAAGUGUUCUUCUGAAUAGACAUUGCCACAAGGAUUCCCAGGAUUAAUAAUGACCAUAGCCACAGUAUUUUCAUCGGCCAAAGACUCAACCGCAUUAAGGUCCACCUCCCACUCCUUCUCUGGGAGAAGAUUAAAGUGGCGCAUUUCCAUUUGAGUAAAUCCACCCCAAGCUUCAUAAUAAGGGAAUCCAGGACUUGGAAGUAGAAUAUUUGCG